GAUGAAGAACGCAGCAAAAUGCGAUAAGUAAUGUGAAUUGCAGAAUUCAGUGAAUCAUCGAAUCUUUGAACGCACAUUGCGCCCGCCAGUAUUCUGGCGGGCAUGCCUGUUCGAGCGUCAUUUCAACCCUCAAGCACAGCUUGGUGUUGGGACUCGCGUUAAUUCGCGUUCCCCAAAUUGAUUCGCGGUCACGUCGAGCUUCCAUAGCGUAGUAGUAAAACCCUCGUUACUGGUAAUCGUCGCGGCCACGCCGUUAAACCCCAACUUCUGAAUGUUGACCUCGGAUCAGGUAGGAAUACCCGCUGAACUUAAGCAUAUCAAUAAGCGGAGGA
Molecule: unclassified non-coding RNA, 332 nt
Filed under: soil metagenome
Description: partial contains 5.8S ribosomal RNA, internal transcribed spacer 2, and large subunit ribosomal RNA
Rfam family: 5.8S ribosomal RNA (bases 1-120)
Source: RNAcentral